GACGAACGCUGGCGGCGUGCCUAAUACAUGCAAGUCGUGCGGACCUUUUAAAAGCUUGCUUUUAAAAGGUUAGCGGCGGACGGGUGAGUAACACGUGGGCAACCUGCCUGUAAGACUGGGAUAACGCCGGGAAACCGGGGCUAAUACCAGAUCGUUUUUUCCUCAGCAUGGAGGAAAAAGGAAAGGCGGCUUCGGCUGCCACUUACAGAUGGGCCCGCGGCGCAUUAGCUAGUUGGCGGGGUAACGGCCCACCAAGGCAACGAUGCGUAGCCGACCUGAGAGGGUGAUCGGCCACAUUGGGACUGAGACACGGCCCAAACUCCUACGGGAGGCAGCAGUAGGAAAUCUUCCGCAAUGGACGAAAGUCUGACGGAGCAACGCCGCGUGAGUGAAGAAGGCCUUCGGGUCGUAAAACUCUGUUGCCGGGGAAGAACAAGUGCCGUUCGAACAGGGCGGCGCCUUGACGGUACCCGGCCAGAAAGCCACGGCUAACUACGUG
This 499-nucleotide ribosomal RNA is filed under the name uncultured bacterium. Its description in RNAcentral is "partial 16S ribosomal RNA". It matches the Rfam family "Bacterial small subunit ribosomal RNA", at positions 28 to 507 of the family's 1533-position model. The record is from RNAcentral.